AGGCUGCAACUCGCCUACAUGAAGCCGGAAUCGCUAGUAAUCGUGGAUCAGCAUGCCACGGUGAAUACGUUCCCGGGCCUUGUACACACCGCCCGUCACACCACGAGAGUUUGUAACACCCGAAGUCGGUAGGGUAACCUUUAUGGAGCCAGCCGCCGAAGGUGGGACAGAUAAUUGGGGUGAAGUCGUAACAAGGUAGCCGUAUCGGAAGGUGCGGCUGGAUCACCUCCUUUCUAAGGAA
This 241-nucleotide ribosomal RNA is filed under the name Listeria monocytogenes. RNAcentral's name for it is "partial 16S ribosomal RNA". It matches the Rfam family "Bacterial small subunit ribosomal RNA", at positions 1302 to 1533 of the family's 1533-position model. Lineage: Bacteria; Bacillati; Bacillota; Bacilli; Caryophanales; Listeriaceae. The record is from RNAcentral.